UUGCAAUAGCAAGCGCCAGAGCUUGGUCGAGCGCGGGGGAGAAGGGAAAGCUGCUACAUGGUUAUGUAGACAAGGGCUUGAACGGAUCACGGCAGACGUAAGCUGACGAGGUGGAGGUGUUCGAAAUGUUCGGCGGGGACCUCCCGGUGAUGCACCAGAGCCGUAAAUGGAGACGGAAAAUGGAAGGGCGACCUUUCACACAACGUUUUCAUGGGUGCAUAA
Molecule: regulatory RNA element, 222 nt
Organism: Paenibacillus sp. FSL H7-0737
Lineage: Bacteria; Bacillati; Bacillota; Bacilli; Caryophanales; Paenibacillaceae
Rfam family: glmS glucosamine-6-phosphate activated ribozyme aptamer
About the family: This entry contains a glucosamine-6-phosphate activated ribozyme that is found in the mRNA for GlmS. GlmS is an enzyme that uses fructose-6-phosphate and glutamine to generate glucosamine-6-phosphate.
Source: Rfam